Molecule: non-coding RNA, 45 nt
Filed under: Schistosoma mansoni
Lineage: Eukaryota; Metazoa; Platyhelminthes; Trematoda; Strigeidida; Schistosomatidae
Source: RNAcentral
AUUCAUCUGACGAGUCCCAAACAGAACGAAACGCGCAUCCUGGAU